Molecule: ribosomal RNA, 253 nt
Filed under: uncultured bacterium
Lineage: Bacteria
Description: partial 16S ribosomal RNA
Rfam family: Bacterial small subunit ribosomal RNA
Source: RNAcentral
UACGAAGGGUGCAAACGUUGCUCGGAAUUAUUGGGCGUAAAGCGCACGUAGGCGGCAUUGCAAGUCGGAUGUGAAAUCCCACCGCUCAACGGUGGAACUGCUGGGCAUACUGGCGAUCUUGAGCCACCUAGGGGCAGACGGAACAAGCGGUGGAGCGGUGAAAUGCGUAGAUAUCGCUUGGAACGCCGACGGUGAAAACAGUCUGCUGGGGGUGUGCUGACGCUGAGACACGAAAGCCAGGGGAGCGAACGGG